CACGACACCGCUGGAGACGGUGAGAAAAACACACUCCGUCCACGAUUGGUCACCGGCAGUAGCAGGACGAACCGUCGCCGUAGCCGCCAGGCUGAACCAUAAGACGCCUCAACAGCGACCGACGAAGUCGUCGAGGCGAGGCGACGGCCCGGAGGUGAACUGCAGCGACAGCGUGAACUUGGCCGGCGACUACAAGGACCCAUCCACGGGGUCCCUUCCUCUCUGAAAACGGCCUAAUUGCUGAUAUCUUGCCUCCCCUCUCCUUCUCCCUAUCUUAAUUUUCAAGCGAUUUAGGUAUGGUAUUACUGUUAGGUAACCCUAGAAACUUUGUUGGAACCUAAAAAAUAGGUACUCUGAUGGAUUAGAGUGGUUCUGCCUCAAACAACUACCAAUGGAUUGUUGAAUUAGCCAAUGUCAUAAUUAGUAAAUCUGUGCUGUUAUAUUCUGUAACGAGAUCACAUUAUGCCCAUGUUUAGAUGACACUGACCCAAGUUUACUU
Aegilops tauschii subsp. strangulata is the source of this 499-nucleotide non-coding RNA. The record is from RefSeq and is a predicted model, not a curated record. Lineage: Eukaryota; Viridiplantae; Streptophyta; Magnoliopsida; Poales; Poaceae.